Molecule: ribosomal RNA, 154 nt
Filed under: Rosa hybrid cultivar
Lineage: Eukaryota; Viridiplantae; Streptophyta; Magnoliopsida; Rosales; Rosaceae
Description: 5.8S ribosomal RNA
Rfam family: 5.8S ribosomal RNA
About the family: 5.8S ribosomal RNA (5.8S rRNA) is a component of the large subunit of the eukaryotic ribosome. It is transcribed by RNA polymerase I as part of the 45S precursor that also contains 18S and 28S rRNA.
Source: RNAcentral
CGACUCUCGGCAACGGAUAUCUCGGCUCUCGCAUCGAUGAAGAACGUAGCGAAAUGCGAUACUUGGUGUGAAUUGCAGAAUCCCGUGAACCAUCGAGUCUUUGAACGCAAGUUGCGCCCGAACCCAUUAGGCCGAGGGCAUGUCUGCCUGGGCG